RNAcentral lists this ribosomal RNA (487 nucleotides) under Priestia megaterium. RNAcentral's name for it is "bacterial SSU rRNA". It matches the Rfam family "Bacterial small subunit ribosomal RNA", at positions 394 to 872 of the family's 1533-position model. Lineage: Bacteria; Bacillati; Bacillota; Bacilli; Caryophanales; Bacillaceae. The record is from RNAcentral.
ACGCCGCGUGAGUGAUGAAGGCUUUCGGGUCGUAAAACUCUGUUGUUAGGGAAGAACAAGUACAAGAGUAACUGCUUGUACCUUGACGGUACCUAACCAGAAAGCCACGGCUAACUACGUGCCAGCAGCCGCGGUAAUACGUAGGUGGCAAGCGUUAUCCGGAAUUAUUGGGCGUAAAGCGCGCGCAGGCGGUUUCUUAAGUCUGAUGUGAAAGCCCACGGCUCAACCGUGGAGGGUCAUUGGAAACUGGGGAACUUGAGUGCAGAAGAGAAAAGCGGAAUUCCACGUGUAGCGGUGAAAUGCGUAGAGAUGUGGAGGAACACCAGUGGCGAAGGCGGCUUUUUGGUCUGUAACUGACGCUGAGGCGCGAAAGCGUGGGGAGCAAACAGGAUUAGAUACCCUGGUAGUCCACGCCGUAAACGAUGAGUGCUAAGUGUUAGAGGGUUUCCGCCCUUUAGUGCUGCAGCUAACGCAUUAAGCACUCCGC